AAGAGUUGCAAAACUCCCAAACCAUUGUGAACUUACCUUCAACGUUGCUUCGGCGGGUUGGCUCCGGGUCUCCCGGGGCCCCCGGCCCUCACGGGCGCCCGCCGGAGGUAUCUAACUCUUGAAAUUGUAUGGCCUCUCUGAGUGAUUUAUAAAUAAGUCA
This 160-nucleotide unclassified non-coding RNA is filed under the name uncultured Chaetomium. RNAcentral describes it as "sequence contains ITS1". Lineage: Eukaryota; Fungi; Ascomycota; Sordariomycetes; Sordariales; Chaetomiaceae. The record is from RNAcentral.